AACAAUACAAUACUCUUCGUGUCU
Molecule: non-coding RNA, 24 nt
Filed under: Arabidopsis thaliana (thale cress)
Lineage: Eukaryota; Viridiplantae; Streptophyta; Magnoliopsida; Brassicales; Brassicaceae
Source: RNAcentral